RNAcentral lists this ribosomal RNA (459 nucleotides) under Haemophilus influenzae. Its description in RNAcentral is "bacterial SSU rRNA". It matches the Rfam family "Bacterial small subunit ribosomal RNA", at positions 30 to 476 of the family's 1533-position model. The record is from RNAcentral. Lineage: Bacteria; Pseudomonadati; Pseudomonadota; Gammaproteobacteria; Pasteurellales; Pasteurellaceae.
AUUGAACGCUGGCGGCAGGCUUAACACAUGCAAGUCGAACGGUAGCAGGAGAAAGCUUGCUUUCUUGCUGACGAGUGGCGGACGGGUGAGUAAUGCUUGGGAAUCUGGCUUAUGGAGGGGGAUAACGACGGGAAACUGUCGCUAAUACCGCGUAUUAUCGGAAGAUGAAAGUGCGGGACUGAGAGGCCGCAUGCCAUAGGAUGAGCCCAAGUGGGAUUAGGUAGUUGGUGGGGUAAAGGCCUACCAAGCCUGCGAUCUCUAGCUGGUCUGAGAGGAUGACCAGCCACACUGGAACUGAGACACGGUCCAGACUCCUACGGGAGGCAGCAGUGGGGAAUAUUGCGCAAUGGGGGGAACCCUGACGCAGCCAUGCCGCGUGAAUGAAGAAGGCCUUAGGGUUGUAAAGUUCUUUCGGUAUUGAGGAAGGUUGAUGUGUUAAUAGCACAUUAAAUUGACGUA